UACGUAGGUGGCAAGCGUUGUCCGGAUUUACUGGGCGUAAAGAGCGCGCAGGCGGCCGAGUCAGUCGAAUGUGAAAGCCCCCGGCUCAACUGGGGAGGGUCAUUCGAUACUGCUCGGCUCGAAGAUGGGAGAGGGAAGCGGAAUUUCAGGUGUAGUGGUGAAAUGCGUAGAUAUCUGAAGGAACACCAGUGGCGAAGGCGGCUUUCUGGCCCAUUCUUGACGCUGAGGCGCGAAAGCUAGGGGAGCAAACGGG
This 253-nucleotide ribosomal RNA is filed under the name uncultured Acidobacteriota bacterium. RNAcentral describes it as "uncultured Acidobacteria bacterium partial 16S ribosomal RNA". It matches the Rfam family "Bacterial small subunit ribosomal RNA", at positions 524 to 776 of the family's 1533-position model. The record is from RNAcentral. Lineage: Bacteria; Pseudomonadati; Acidobacteriota.